GCCGGGGUGGUGUAAUUGGUAGCCACGCAAGACUUAAAAUCUUGUGAGCCCAAUAAGCUCGUGCGGGUUCGAGUCCCGCCCCCGGCACCA
This 90-nucleotide transfer RNA is filed under the name Candidatus Berkelbacteria bacterium. RNAcentral's name for it is "tRNA-Leu". It matches the Rfam family "tRNA". Rfam says of the family: Transfer RNA (tRNA) molecules are approximately 80 nucleotides in length. Their secondary structure includes four short double-helical elements and three loops (D, anti-codon, and T loops). Further hydrogen bonds mediate the characteristic L-shaped molecular structure. tRNAs have two regions of fundamental functional importance: the anti-codon, which is responsible for specific mRNA codon recognition, and the 3' end, to which the tRNAs corresponding amino acid is attached (by aminoacyl-tRNA synthetases). tRNAs cope with the degeneracy of the genetic code in two manners: having more than one tRNA (with a specific anti-codon) for a particular amino acid; and 'wobble' base-pairing, i.e. permitting non-standard base-pairing at the 3rd anti-codon position. The record is from RNAcentral. Lineage: Bacteria; Candidatus Berkelbacteria.